This is a transfer RNA of 72 nucleotides. It matches the Rfam family "tRNA". From Rfam's summary of the family: Transfer RNA (tRNA) molecules are approximately 80 nucleotides in length. The record is from Rfam.
GGGUGCGUAGCUCAGUGGUAGAGCGCCUGCCUUACAAGCAGGAUGUCGGCGGUUCGAAACCGUCCGCGCCCA